AUCAUCAUUGUUUGCAACAACAGUUCAGUGUUGGCCUACUAAUGUGUCCUAGAAUACACGUGCUCUCUUGCAUCACCCAGUUUUACCAUAGCUUUCCUGGCCAGGUAUUUUUGGGAUACAUUCAAUGAAAGCUCCUGACAUUUAGCAUGCUGAUAUUCUACAGUGUCUAGAUCAGUUUUCUUCCUGUCUACCACAGCACCAAAUGCAAGGCAUUGGUUUCUCUAGAGUUUUCUGUAUCUUGGACUCUAGUUGCAAGUUUACUUCUUGGUUUCUUUGCCCCAAAGUGCUACAUUAUUUUAUUAAGAACA
This 308-nucleotide long non-coding RNA is filed under the name Mus musculus (house mouse). Its description in RNAcentral is "long non-coding RNA chr7:85884456-85884764". Lineage: Eukaryota; Metazoa; Chordata; Mammalia; Rodentia; Muridae. The record is from RNAcentral.